UCCUUCAGCUAGCAGCGGCAGCGGCGAGAAGGGUGCUGGCGGGGAUGGGUCGUCUUCCCGCCCACUGGAAGGCCCCGAGGGAAAGCCUCCGGCUCUGAGGGAGGCUGGGGGGUGGGGGGACGGACGCUGCCGCCGCCAUGUUGGACUGGAGGGACGCACGCUCUCAACGCUUUCCGUCUGCAAAUCACGGCGGGAGCGCUUCGGCCCUCUGUGUUUUGAUCCUGUCCUUGGAACCUGAGGCGACGUGCGGCUCCCGGGGCAAGAUCUUUCAGCGAGGCCUCGGGCCAGUCGUCUCGUCGCCUCGUGCCUCAGUUUCCCCAUCCACGGAGUGGAGCUGGGCCUUCUGACUCACCCAUUCAUCAGGUGGAGGCCUUGACGCCCUGGGAGCCCUUUCAAAAGGACGUUGCCUUCCACGAAAUUCUGCUUAUCUUCAUUCCCUCUGUCGUAACUACCCGAAUUCCAUUUGGGGGUGUUUGCAUAUAAUUCAGCUUCCUCUUCACCCUUUGUCAUUCUCCCAUCAGUUUUUUCUCUCCUGCAAGAGCUUGAAAGAGCUUUUUCUAUUAUCGACAGGCUCCUGUAAGGUACAUACGGCGUUUACCUUAAAACAUACCAAAGAAAGGCAAUCUUCAAUAAAGUAUUUAAAUUGAUAGAGUCCCCCCCAUUGUGUGGAAGAGGAAAAGAGGCAUUGGUCUCUAAAUCACAGCCAGUUUAGAUCCUGCUAACCCAGAAUAUAAAGUCUGGAACAUGUGUGUUCUCAUAAUUUAGUUACUAGCUGACCGCACAAGGUCCUCUGUUGUUGGGUGCAUCACUGGCUGCAAAGACUCAACAACCACUUGCUAGAAACCAUGAGAGUUAGAUACCACUUUUCAGGUGGAAAAAGAGAACAUUUCCUUGAAGCCAUAUGGUUGGGAUGAAAAUGACUUCUGACAGAAUCUUUACAUUUUUUUUAAGGGAGAGCCUGUUGAUAUUUAAAUAAAAGCCCCCAGUAAUCCAUUCUUGCAGAAGGAUGGAAAUGUGUGACCAAAAAGAAAGCAGUAGGCUAAGAAGCGACCAAAUUAUAGGGUAUGGACAGAAGAACGAUAAACAUUCCUUAGAUUAACAUUGAUCUUAAGCCAGAAUAUUGAUCUUUUGGGAGAAGGGCAUUUUUAAUGUUUCUUUCCAUUUAAUCCUCAAACAAAUAGUUCCUUACCCCGAAGUAGACAUUGGUACAUAUUUUACCAGGUGCAUAAUUUGGAAUGAAGUCUGGUAAAGCUCCACAGAAGUACAUAGAAGUACACCCUCAGGCAGAUGUGUAACCCAUCCAUGGUUAAAAAGAAAAAUUCUUGGAUUCUCAUGGCAAAAUUUAUGGCUUUCAGUGGAAACAGUGCUCAUUAAAACCUUGGCCUGUCUUGAUUUUUAACGUAAUUGUUGGUAUAAAAUGAUGGCUUACUUUUAUAGGACUAGGUAGCUUUUAUGGAAAAUUAAAUUUUAGAGGUUUACUGUUUGUAAAAUUUAGGAUUUUCAUUGUGUCAAAUUAGUAUGUGAGCUGGUUUACCUGUUAGUACUGAUAUUCAAAUUACUAGGACACUAGAUGUUUGUCACUUUUAAUUUGAGGGUUUUUUUAAAAUAUCAAAGAUUGGCUUUCACCUGUGAAAAGAAUGAUUUAAUAACAUUGUUUCUAAAUUAAAAGUAGAAUCUUUUUAGUGUUAUAUAUUUACAUUUUGUAAUGUGUAUAAAAAAUAAUACUUUUGACUUUGUAUAAUAAUAGGAGUAAUGCUUUUGACUUGUUUUUCAGUGAAUGCUUAAGUUAAUAAAUUUAACAGUAAAGUCCGUUCCCUCAACAGCUAAUGGCAUUAAGUUAGGUUAAGUCCUUUAAACAUUCCAAACUACACUUAGAAAUUUAUCAUAUUGACUCAACCACUCCAGAUGCCUGACAGGGCAGAAUUAUAAAACCUAAUAACAUAUAAACACUUAAUGUAAUCAAUAAAGUAGUAAAUGUUGUCAGACUCUCAGA
Pteropus alecto (black flying fox) is the source of this 1993-nucleotide long non-coding RNA. RefSeq lists it as uncharacterized. The record is from RefSeq and is a predicted model, not a curated record. The transcript has 2 exons. Lineage: Eukaryota; Metazoa; Chordata; Mammalia; Chiroptera; Pteropodidae.